RNAcentral lists this long non-coding RNA (480 nucleotides) under Hordeum vulgare. Its description in RNAcentral is "long non-coding RNA (HVUL_LNC018238)". Lineage: Eukaryota; Viridiplantae; Streptophyta; Magnoliopsida; Poales; Poaceae. The record is from RNAcentral.
UUAGCAGCAUGCAGAAAGCUCCGUAGAGUUUCAGCGGCUGAGUCUUGUGGCAGAUAGAGAGUGGAGCUAGAAGCGGACGCAGUUAGUUCAGACGUGCGUCAAGUGUGCCGUUGUGUAGGCAAGCUCCUAGUGUGCUACAGACUUGGGAGUGACUCAAGCUUGUGACGUGCGUGAGCUGUUGGAGUUAGAACCGGAUCAAGCCGAGAUGUGUGGCUGGACCGUUGUGGACGCGUGCAUGCAGAAGUGGAUUAGUGCAUGCAGUUAGAUAGUUUGUUAGUGGGUUAGAGCGUGGGGUGUGUUGGCCGAGUGACUUGGCUAUAAACUCCCAUGUAUCUGGGUUGUGAUUCGGCGUGCGUUGGGAAAAACAAAAGGGAAAACGGCAGAAGUCUGUUGCCGGAAAACUAUGUGUGUUCUUGUGUCUAGCGAGUAUCUGUGUGAGUCUUCUUCUUUCUCGGGCAGCCCCAACAUUUGGUAUCAGNN